RNAcentral lists this ribosomal RNA (497 nucleotides) under uncultured bacterium. Its description in RNAcentral is "partial 16S ribosomal RNA". It matches the Rfam family "Bacterial small subunit ribosomal RNA", at positions 28 to 507 of the family's 1533-position model. The record is from RNAcentral.
GAUGAACGCUGGCGGCGUGCCUAAUACAUGCAAGUCGAGCGAACAGACGAGGAGCUUGCUCCUCUGGCGUUAGCGGCGGACGGGUGGGUAACACGUGGAUAACCUACCUAUAAGACUGGGAUAACUUCGGGAAACCGGAGCUAAUACCGGAUAAUAUAUUGAACCGCAUGGUUCAAUAGUGAAAGACGGUUUUGCUGUCACUUAUAGAUGGAUCCGCGCCGCAUUAGCUAGUUGGUAAGGUAACGGCUUACCAAGGCGACGAUGCGUAGCCGACUUGAGAGGGUGAUCGGCCACACUGGAACUGAGACACGGUCCAGACUCCUACGGGAGGCAGCAGUAGGGAAUCUUCCGCAAUGGGCGAAAGCCUGACGGAGCAACGCCGCGUGAGUGAUGAAGGUCUUCGGAUCGUAAAACUCUGUUAUUAGGGAAGAACAAAUGUGUAAGUAACUAUGCACGUCUUGACGGUACCUAAUCAGAAAGCCACGGCUAACUACGUG